This 330-nucleotide ribosomal RNA is filed under the name uncultured eukaryote. RNAcentral describes it as "partial 18S ribosomal RNA". It matches the Rfam family "Eukaryotic small subunit ribosomal RNA", at positions 1470 to 1796 of the family's 1831-position model. The record is from RNAcentral.
CCCUUAGAUGUUCUGGGCCGCACGCGCGCUACACUGAUGAAUGCAACGAGCUCUACCCUUGACCGAAAGGCCCGGGUAAACUUGUGAAACUUCAUCGUGAUGGGGAUAGAUUAUUGCAAUUAUUAAUCUUCAACGAGGAAUUCCUAGUAAGCGCGAGUCAUCAGCUCGCGUUGAUUACGUCCCUGCCCUUUGUACACACCGCCCGUCGCUACUACCGAUUGAAUGGUUUAGUGAGGACUCCUGAUUGGCGCCGCCGCCCCGGCAACGGAGCAGCGGACUGCCGAAAAGUUGUUCAAACUUGAUCAUUUAGAGGAAGUAAAAGUCGUAACA